CCCCCGCCCCCCCCCCCGCCCCGCCUGCGCCCGUUGACAGCCGUUGCUCUCUCCCCUCGCGGCCUUUUCUCGGCGCUGCCCGGCGCUCUCCGGCCCCCGGGAGCUCUUCGUGGCCCGCUCUCACUCCCCAAGGGAGGGCCCGGGGUCUGGGCUGUCAGCCCCGGUACGGAGACGGGCCACUCCAGGGCCCUCGGGACAUCCGCCGUCCUCAGGGAGCUGCUCUCCCGGGCAGCUCUCCGCCUCCCCUUGGGCCACCCUUAGCACUUAGCCAGGGGUGACUGACUGCGGUGAAACCGUUUCUCCACGGUUGUCUCAUUUUUUAAUUUAUUUUUUUUUAACGAAGAUACUGCACGUACACACCUCAUGAAAUGUUUCCCACUUGCACAGAGGCGUCGAUUCUUGACCUUUCCUCCCCACCACCAGCAAAGUGCGAGGAGAGGGAAAGCUGAGGUCAGGAGUCUUAAAUGACAAGCUUUUGACCAGUGAUCCUACUUUCAAACUCUCAGCUGCACAUCUGUUCCUGUGUUUGGCAGCUACUUACGUUUGAAGCAGCUUGGGCCUGAUGAGGAAGAGGACCUUCUUGAAAGAAAAUCAGCAGAUGAAACCUGGAUACUUCGUCCUUCCCCAUGAGACCUGGAGGGCUCUUGCAUUCGUAAAUUGUUGUUACGAGCAAGGAAAAAAAAUCAUAAAACUGACACCAAAACAGAGAGAAAAGUGAAAAAAUCAGUGGAGAAUGGAUAAGCUGAGAAAUGUGAUUUUUCAGCUAGGAUUAAUGAUGCACCUAUUCAACAGAAGGAUUUGGCCUAAAGUCAGAAAGAUGAGAUAAACAGGAUAACGAUUAAAACACAAAAACAUAUGGUAUCACCAACUGCGUGAAGAUCAACAUCAGAUUAAAUC
This 897-nucleotide long non-coding RNA is filed under the name Calidris pugnax (ruff). RNAcentral describes it as "lncRNA (ENSCPUG00000009253.1)". The record is from RNAcentral. Lineage: Eukaryota; Metazoa; Chordata; Aves; Charadriiformes; Scolopacidae.